AGAGUUUGAUCCUGGCUCAGAACGAACGCUGGCGGCGUGGAUAAGACAUGCAAGUCGAGCGAGAUUUUUUCCUGUGGCAAUACAGGGAAAAGUCUAGCGGCGAACGGGUGCUUAACACGUGGGCAAUCUGUCUUAAAGUGGGGGAUAGCUCGGCGAAAGCCGAAUUAAUACCGCAUGUGGUUAGAGUGGACAUCCAUUCAAAAUCAAAGGUGGCGCAAGCUACCGCUUUUUGAGGAGCCCGCGGCCUAUCAGCUAGUUGGUGAGGUAACGGCUCACCAAGGCUUUGACGGGUAGCUGGUCUGAGAGGACGACCAGCCACACUGGGACUGAGACACGGCCCAGACACCUACGGGUGGCAGCAGUCGAGAAUUUUUCUCAAUGGGGGAAACCCUGAAGGAGCGACGCCGCGUGGAGGAUGAAGGUCUUCGGAUUGUAAACUCCUGUCAUUGGGGAACAAGGUGCAUACGUUAACUGCGUGUGUAUUGAUAGUACCCGAAGAGGAAGAGACGGCUAACUCUGUGCCAGCAGCCGCGGUAAUACAGAGGUCUCAAGCGUUGUUCGGAUUCAUUGGGCGUAAAGGGUGCGUAGGCGGCGCGGUAAGUCGGGUGUGAAAUCUUGGAGCUUAACUCCGAAACUGCAUUCGAUACUGCCGUGCUUGAGGACUGGAGAGGAGACUGGAAUUUACGGUGUAGCGGUGAAAUGCGUAGAUAUCGUAAGGAAGACCAGUGGCGAAGGCGGGUCUCUGGACAGUUCCUGACGCUGAGGCACGAAGGCCAGGGGAGCAAACGGGAUUAGAUACCCUAGUAGUCC
RNAcentral lists this ribosomal RNA (810 nucleotides) under uncultured bacterium. RNAcentral describes it as "bacterial SSU rRNA". It matches the Rfam family "Bacterial small subunit ribosomal RNA", at positions 8 to 796 of the family's 1533-position model. The record is from RNAcentral.